Molecule: ribosomal RNA, 253 nt
Filed under: uncultured bacterium
Lineage: Bacteria
Description: partial 16S ribosomal RNA
Rfam family: Bacterial small subunit ribosomal RNA
Source: RNAcentral
UACGUAGGGUGCGAGCGUUAAUCGGAAUUACUGGGCGUAAAGCGUGCGCAGGCGGUUCGUUAAGACAGAUGUGAAAUCCCCGGGCUCAACCUGGGAACUGCAUUGGUGACUGGCAGGCUAGAGUAUGGCAGAGGGGGGUAGAAUUCCACGUGUAGCAGUGAAAUGCGUAGAGACGUGGAGGAAUACCGAUGGCGAAGGCAGCCCCCUGGGCCAAUACUGACGCUCAUGCACGAAAGCGUGGGGAGCAAACAGG